GAAAUGCGAUACUUGGUGUGAAUUGCAGAAUCCCGUGAACCAUCGAGUCUUUGAACGCAAGUUGCGCCAUUCAGUCAGUUUAAUGGUUUGCGACGUUCAGGUACUCUUACACUCAAAGGGUUUGUAAACAACGAAUUGUUUAAGGAUUUUGAGCUUGACUCAAUUUCUGAUACACCGAGUUGUUUUGUACUCUUUAAGAUUUUGAUCUCAAAUCAGGCAGGACUACCCGCUGAAUUUAA
This 239-nucleotide unclassified non-coding RNA is filed under the name uncultured fungus. RNAcentral describes it as "sequence contains ITS1". The stretch from base 1 to 105 matches the Rfam family "5.8S ribosomal RNA", at positions 50 to 154 of the family's 154-position model. The record is from RNAcentral. Lineage: Eukaryota; Fungi.